UGGCGGCACUAGCGCGGUGGUCCCACCUGACCCCAUGCCGAACUCAGAAGUGAAACGUCGUAGCGCCGAUGGUAGUGUGGGGUCUCCCCAUGUGAGAGUAGGGAACUGCCAGGCA
This 115-nucleotide ribosomal RNA is filed under the name Klebsiella pneumoniae. Lineage: Bacteria; Pseudomonadati; Pseudomonadota; Gammaproteobacteria; Enterobacterales; Enterobacteriaceae. The record is from RNAcentral.